This 22-nucleotide microRNA is filed under the name Callorhinchus milii (elephant shark). RNAcentral describes it as "eshark_mir-193_1". The record is from RNAcentral. Lineage: Eukaryota; Metazoa; Chordata; Chondrichthyes; Chimaeriformes; Callorhinchidae.
UUGGGAUUGAAUGUAGAAGAAU